Oncorhynchus tshawytscha (Chinook salmon) is the source of this 2262-nucleotide long non-coding RNA. The record is from Ensembl. Lineage: Eukaryota; Metazoa; Chordata; Actinopteri; Salmoniformes; Salmonidae.
GAGUCCAUCCUGCCCUGAUGACAGAGAUGGACAGUGGAUGUAGUUAGAGUCCAUCCUGUCCUGAUGACAGAGAUGGACAGUGGAUGUAGUUAGAGUCCAUCCUGCCCUGAUGACAGAGAUGGAUAGUGGAUGUAGUUAGAGUCCAUCCUGCCCUGAUGACAGAGAUGGACAGUGGAUGUAGUUAGGGACCAUGACAGAUAAGAAAGGAGUCCAUGACAAGGAGGAGGAAUAGUGACCUUCUGUGGCCUGGUUCUGGUUCUGGUACUGGUUCUGAAUAUGUAUUGUACCGUGUGCAUUUAGUCUGGGUUACAGCAAUAAAGAUGCACUUUAAAUUGAGUUCAAUAACUGUAUAAUCAAGUGUCCAAAAAUGUUAUGCACCGUAUGCAUUGCAUCUGAAAAUGUGUGAACGUAAUGGAAAAUAACAUGUCAAACCAAAUCAAAUUUGAUUUAUCACAUGUGCCGAAUACAACCUUACCGUGAAAUGCUUACUUACAAGCCCUAAACCAACCAUGCAGUUAAAAAAUAAAAUAAGAGUUAAGACAAAUAUUUACUGGAUAAACUAAUGUAAAAAAUAAAAGAACAACAAUAAAAUAACAAUAACGAGGCUAUAUACAGGGGGUACCGGUACCGAGUCAGUGUGCGGGGUAGAGGUUAGUAGAGGUAAUUGAGGUAAUAUGUACAUGUAGGUACAGUUGGGGUAAAGUGACUAUGCAUAGACAAUAAAAUAAUGAACAGCGAGUAGCAGCAGCGUAAAAAGGGGGGCGGGGGUUAAUGCAUAUAGUCUGGGUAGCCAUUUGAUUAGCUGUCCUACAGUCUUAUGGCUUGGUAGUAGAAGCUGUUAAGUAGCCUUUUGGACCUAGACUUGGGGCUCCGGUACCACUUGCCGUGCGGUAGUAGAGAGAUCCGUCUAUGACUGGGCUGGCUGGAGUCUUUUUGGGGUGGCUGGAGUCUUUUUAGGGCCCUCCUCUGACACCGCCUGGUAUAGAGGUCCUGGAUGGCAGGAAGCUUGGCCCCAGUGAUGUACUGGGCCAGUACGCACUACCCUCUGUAGCGCUUUGUGGUCGGAGGCCGAGCAGUUGCCAUACCAGGCACUGAUGCAACCAGUCAGGCUCUCGAUGGUGCAGCUGUAUAACUUUGAGGAUCUGAGGACCCAUGCCAAAUAAUUUCAGUCUUGUGAGAGGGAAUAGGCGUUGUCGUGCCCUCUUUACGACUGUCUUGGUUUCCGACCAACAUGAUAGUUUGUUGGUGAUGUGGACACCAAGGAACUUGAAGCUCUCAACCUGCUCCACUACAGCCCUGUCGAUGAGAAUGGGGGCGUGGUCAGCCCUCCUUUUCCUGUAAUCCACGAUCAUCUCCUUUGUCUUGAUCACGUUGAGGGAGAGGUUGUUGUCCUGGCACCACACUGCCAGGUCUGUGACCUCCUCCCUAUAGGCUGUCUCAUUGUUAUUGGUGAUCAGGCCUACCACAAUUGUGUUGUCUGCAAACUUAAUGAUGGUGUGGUGACUUAUGACUAUAAUACUAUCUCUGUCUUCUAUACUGAUAUGCACUGCACUAAGUUAUGUGUAUUUCUGCAAUAAGCUAUGUGCAUUACUGCACUAAUUCAUGUGUAUUAAUGCACUAAGUCAUAUACGUUUUACUGCACUAAGUCAUCUGUAUUGCUUCACUAAGUCACGUGUAUUGCUUCACUAAGUCAUGUGUAUUACUGCACUAAGUCAUGUGUACUACUGCCAUAUACAGUAUAAAUAAAGUUUCUGAUAUGUUAUUCUGUAAUGCUGCCGUUAGACUCUAGUCUUUAUCCCAGUAGUUGUCAACAUUGAUAACUGGGGGUUAGGUUGGUUUGGAGAUUAUACAGACUGUCACAAAGGGGGGCGACGGGCCGCAUCCUCGUCCAUACCCUCUGAGACUGUGGCUGCAUGUGUCAUCCGUUGCAAAUGACCAUGGGGAGCACCUCAGACACACACACACACCACACACACGCGCAAAACAUGUUGCGGGAAGAGACCGCAGCAGGCGUGAUGACAUGUUAAAUUACCCCGGUGAUGUAUAGCUUAAUGAACCCCUUGUGUUGAUCAGGCUCCACAUUAAUCAACAGCCAUGAACAGAUUCCCUUGAUAAACUGCAAUUUCAUUUAACCUUGGACAGCAACUUUAAUAGCUUCCACAGGACAACUGUCAAUACUUUCCUGGGUGUACAGUGAUUAAAUUGCAGGGCGAGAAGUGGGUCCCAGCUUCCUCCUCAUACUCAUCCCUCUAUCCUCUCCCC